GAUGAACGCUGGCGGCGUGCCUAAUACAUGCAAGUCGAGCGAACGGACGAGAAGCUUGCUUCUCUGAUGUUAGCGGCGGACGGGUGUGUAACACGUGGAUAACCUACCUAUAAGACUGGGAUAACUUCGGGAAACCGGAGCUAAUACCGGAUGAUAUUUUGAACCGCAUGGUUCAAAAGUGAAAGACGGUCUUGCUGUCACUUAUAGAUGGAUCCGCGCUGCAUUAGCUAGUUGGUAAGGUAACGGCUUACCAAGGCAACGAUGCAUAGCCGACCUGAGAGGGUGAUCGGCCACACUGGAACUGAGACACGGUCCAGACUCCUACGGGAGGCAGCAGUAGGGAAUCUUCCGCAAUGGGCGAAAGAAUGACGGAGCAACGCCGCGUGAGUGAUGAAGGUCUUCGGAUCGUAAAACUCUGUUAUUAGGGAAGAACAUAUGUGUAAGUAACUGUGCACAUCUUGACGGUACCUAAUCAGAAAGCCACGGCUAACUACGUG
Molecule: ribosomal RNA, 497 nt
Filed under: uncultured bacterium
Lineage: Bacteria
Description: partial 16S ribosomal RNA
Rfam family: Bacterial small subunit ribosomal RNA
Source: RNAcentral